RNAcentral lists this long non-coding RNA (1347 nucleotides) under Canis lupus familiaris (dog). RNAcentral describes it as "lncRNA (ENSCAFG00040024241.1)". The record is from RNAcentral. Lineage: Eukaryota; Metazoa; Chordata; Mammalia; Carnivora; Canidae.
AUGCCUCGGGGUCACAAUGCAGAGAAGGAACACUUCGCUCUGGACGCCCGGAGAGGGACAGCUGGCCUGGGUGUGCCAGCUUCCAAAGGGCGGGAGGGACUUCAUCAGGGAGACCAUCCGUCCAGGCGGCCCCCAGGGUCUGAAAUGGCCAAGGCGUCCAGGCGGCCCCCAGGGUCUGAAAUGGCCAAGGCGGGGUCCCGUCCGCCCCCUCCCCCGCAGGGCAGCCCGGGUCCCCAACGUGGGCCGGGGCGCGGGGGCGGCAGGUUUCCGGCCGGUCCCACCCAGGUCCCACCCAGCCGACUGGCCGGGGCGGGGACCCCCCAACCCCCCCAACCUUCCCGGCCCCCCCCCCCCCCGCCGGCCUCCCCAGCCCAGCCUGGUCCCGGGUCCGGAGGCGGGCGAGAGGCAGGGGGGAGGCAGAGGGGAGGGGCGGGGGGGGAGCGGGGGGAGGCGGGCUGGAGGCAGGGGGGAGGCGGGCGGGCGGGGAGGGAGCAGGGGGCAGGCGGGCGGGAGGCAGGGGGGAGACAGAGGGGAGGGGCGGGCGGGGGGGAGCAGGGGGGAGGCGGGCGAGAGGCAGCGGGGAGGCGGGAGCGAGCGGGCCGCUGCCCGGAGGCCGCGCCGCCCCGGCGCAAACAUUUCCUUAUGUGGUGGCUCCGCGGGGCCGGGGCGGCGCCGGGGGCUGCGGGGACGGCGGCCACGCCCGGGGCCUCGCGGCCACCCUGGCCCUCGGCUGGGCCGCCGCGCCGCGCCUGCUGGACGAGACCAAGAGGGGAGGCCCCCGCCCCGCGUGUCCCCCGCAGCGCGUCCCUCGUUCCCCUGAAGGAGGAGCAGACCCUGUGGCGCCCCGACUUGGCCCGCGCUUGUGGGGGCUCCCGGGUCCGGACGAAGAGGGGGCGCGGGGUCCCCCGGCCCGCCACCUCCCUGCCCCUCCCCGGCGCAGCCGCCCAGCGCCGCAGCCUCCUUGGCCUUGGGAGCUGCAUUUGGGGGUGGAGGGAUAGCGGGGCGACGGCGGGGGGAUGGCCCAGGGCCGGAGCGGCGAGUGCCUCACUGGAAAUGUCGCGGCUCUCGGCGGGCUCCAGGCUCCAGGCUCCAGGCUGCAGCCCUCCCGAGAGAGCUCGGCCUCAAAACCUGGAGCCCGCGGCUGCCUUCCUGCGGCCAGGGCGUCCCGAGCCUGAGGAGUGCGACCCGGCUCCGACACCCCCACCCCCACCCCCACCCGAGCUUCGCAGGUGUCUGCUCCGACCCCCCAAACUGUCCUGGGGCCUCAGGCCGGCCUCCUCGCCAAUUGCAGCCUUUGAGCCAACUUUCAUAGCUGAUAGGGCAGGUUCCCUAUGGGAUAUUUAUUAA